This 665-nucleotide ribosomal RNA is filed under the name uncultured bacterium. RNAcentral's name for it is "SSU rRNA". It matches the Rfam family "Bacterial small subunit ribosomal RNA", at positions 213 to 898 of the family's 1533-position model. The record is from RNAcentral.
UGGCGCUUAAGGAGGAGCUCGCGGCCUAUCAGCUAGUUGGUGAGGUAAUGGCUCACCAAGACAAUGAUCAAUAGCUGAUCUGAGAGGAUGAUCAGCCACACUGGGACUGAGACACGGCCCAGACUCCUACGGGAGGCAGCAGUGGGGAAUCUUGCACAAUGGAGGAAACUCUGAUGCAGCGAUGCCGCGUGAGUGAAGAAGGCCUUUGGGUUGUAAAGCUCUUUUGUAGGGGAAGAUAAUGACUGUACCCUAAGAAUAAGGUCCGGCUAACUUCGUGCCAGCAGCCGCGGUAAUACGAAGGGACCUAGCGUAGUUCGGAAUUACUGGGCGUAAAGCGCGCGUAGGCCGUUGAGUUAGUUAAUUGUGAAAUCCCAAAGCUUAACUUUGGAACUGCAAUUAAAACUGCUCGACUAGAGUUUGAUAGAGGAAAGCGGAAUACAUAGUGUAGAGGUGAAAUUCGUAGAUAUUAUGUAGAACAACCGUUGCGAAAGCGGCUUUCUGGAUCAACACUGACGCUGAGGCGCGAAAGUAUGGGUAGCAAAGAGGAUUAGAUACCCUUCGUAGUCCAUACCUUAAACGAUGAUUGCUAGAUCGUUGAAAUUUAUUUUCAAUAUCGCAGCUUACGUCUUAACCCAUCCGCCGGGGGAAUACAACGCUAGGUUAAA